CCUACGGGUGGCUGCAGUGAGGAAUAUUGGUCAAUGGCCGAGAGGCUGAACCAGCCAAGUCGCGUGCGGGAAGACGGCCCUACGGGUUGUAAACCUCUUUUGUCCGGGAGCAAAGCGAGUCACGUGUGACUCACUGAGAGUACCCGAAGAAAAAGCAUCGGCUAACUCCGUGCCAGCAGCCGCGGUAAUACGGAGGAUGCGAGCGUUAUCCGGAUUUAUUGGGUUUAAAGGGUGCGAAGGCGGGGGGGCAAGUCAGGGGUAAAAUUGCGGGGCUAAACCCCGUACUGCCGCUGAAACUGCAUGGCUUGAGAGCGAUAGAAGUAGGUGGAAUGUAUGGUGUAGCGGUGAAAUGCUGAGAGAUCACGCAGAACUCCGAUUGCGAAGGCAGCAUACC
Molecule: ribosomal RNA, 394 nt
Filed under: uncultured bacterium
Lineage: Bacteria
Description: partial 16S ribosomal RNA
Rfam family: Bacterial small subunit ribosomal RNA
Source: RNAcentral